UUUAAUGAGGUUUGUAGGUAUUCAGAACCUUAUAAAAAGAAAUGAGCAAUUAUAUAGCUCAGAAAACCCUCCCAGUGGUGUAUCUUUACCUUUUAUUCUGGUACAGACACGUCCUCAUGCAACUGUUGAAGUGGAAAUAUUAGAAGAUAUGCAGCUUGUGCAUUUUGAUUUCAAUAGGUGAAAUUGAUGCUGAUUUAUAUCAAAGUGGCGGUGGUAGUAGUGGUCUUUAUGCUGCAUCUCUUAUUCUUCUGCUCAACAGGGUGUGAAUGAAGGUGAAAAUCAUCCCACCGAAGCAGAUUUGCAACAAGUUCUUGCGGAUUUUGAUGAUUGAUAAACCAUGAUGUUGGGAUUUAAUAUUUAGAUAUGCUUUUAUUACUAUUUAACUUUUGAGUUUGGAUUUUGAUAAGAUCAUAUGUAUUUGGUUGA
Molecule: non-coding RNA, 426 nt
Organism: Arachis ipaensis
Lineage: Eukaryota; Viridiplantae; Streptophyta; Magnoliopsida; Fabales; Fabaceae
Source: RefSeq, a predicted model, not a curated record